This 500-nucleotide ribosomal RNA is filed under the name uncultured bacterium. RNAcentral describes it as "partial 16S ribosomal RNA". It matches the Rfam family "Bacterial small subunit ribosomal RNA", at positions 30 to 523 of the family's 1533-position model. The record is from RNAcentral.
AUUGAACGCUGGCGGCAUGCUUUACACAUGCAAGUCGAACGGCAGCACGGGAGCGAUCCUGGUGGCGAGUGGCGAACGGGUGAGUAAUGUAUCGGUACAUGCCCAGUCGUGGGGGAUAACGCAGCGAAAGUUGUGCUAAUACCGCAUACGAUCUAUGGAUGAAAGCGGGGGAUCGCAAGACCUCGCGCGAUUGGAGUGGCCGAUAUCAGAUUAGGUAGUUGGUGGGGUAAAGGCCCACCAAGCCGACGAUCUGUAGCUGGUCUGAGAGGACGGCCAGCCACACUGGGACUGAGACACGGCCCAGACUCCUAUGGGAGGCAGCAGUGGGGAAUUUUGGACAAUGGGCGCAAGCCUGAUCCAGCAAUGCCGCGUGCAGGAUGAAGGCCUUCGGGUUGUAAACUGCUUUUGUAUGGAACGAAAAGACUCUCUCUAAUAAAGGGGGUUGAUGACGGUACCAUGAGAAUAAGCACCGGCUAACUACGUGCCAGCCGCCGCCGUAA